RNAcentral lists this ribosomal RNA (484 nucleotides) under uncultured soil bacterium. RNAcentral describes it as "bacterial SSU rRNA". It matches the Rfam family "Bacterial small subunit ribosomal RNA", at positions 26 to 518 of the family's 1533-position model. The record is from RNAcentral.
AGAAUGAACGCUGGCGGCGUGCUUUACACAUGCAAGUCGAGCGAGGCGUGUAGCAAUACACAGUCGAGCGGCGAACGGGUGAGUAACGCGUGGAUGACCUGCCCUUCAGCGGGGGAAUAACCCGGGGAAACUCGGGCUAAUACCGCAUACGACCGAGAGGUGAAAGGGGGCCGCAAGGCUCCCGCUGAAGGAGGGGUCCGCGUUCGAUUAGCUAGUUGGUAGGGUAAUGGCCUACCAAGGCGACGAUCGAUAGCCGGCCUGAGAGGGUGAUCGGCCACACCUGGAACUGAGACACGGUCCAGACUCCUACGGGAGGCAGCAGUGGGAAUUUGCGCAAUGGGCUAACGCCUGACGCAGCAACGCCGCGUGGAGGAUGAAGGUCUUUGGAUUGUAAACUCCUGUCAGCAAGGAAAAGCAACUCGACCUCAUACGUCGGAAGUGAUUGUACUGCAGAGACGCCCGGCAACUCUGUGCAGCACGCCGC